This 505-nucleotide long non-coding RNA is filed under the name Rattus norvegicus (Norway rat). RNAcentral describes it as "long non-coding RNA NONRATT022068". The record is from RNAcentral. Lineage: Eukaryota; Metazoa; Chordata; Mammalia; Rodentia; Muridae.
GAACAGCAACCGGCUCCGGUGCUGGCCGUGUGGUGGCCUGUGGUGAGUGGUCUCCGGCCCCUCCCUCCCUGAACGGCAGGCCGACGACAACACUCCGCUGAGGGCAGACCCCACCAGUUCGUGGCGCCAAACCCUCCGCGGCAUGCUCCUGCCGCUGCUCACGCCACUCGAUUCGUCCGGUCGGGGCAGCGGAAGGUGACCCCAUGCAGGUCUGGACACCCCGGAUUGUGUCACUCCCCGCCCUGCCCUCCUCAGGUCCCGGCUCUACGCUGCCUCCUUCCUUCCCAGCCCCUUUGUCUUGUUCACCUGUGCCUGCUCCCCACUGUCUGAUACUGCGCCUCGGAAGGCGAUCCGGGGGACACAUCCUUGGGGAUUCUUCUCCGACCUCUCAGAGCAAUGUGGUCUGUACUUUGACUUUUUGCCCCUGGUCCUCUGCACCCAGGUUUACGGCGUGGUGAAUUUCUGCUUCCGGAUUUAACACUCACAGACCAGACUGAGAAGCCUG